CGAGUACACUGGAAGCUGCUGCUGCUGCAAUGUGUUCAUCAGCAUCACUUUACAACCCACUCCUGGUGCGGUUCUCCCCUCUCCCCGCACACGCGUUGACUCAGACGCGCGUCGACCACGCCGCUCCUCUUCUUCGCCCUUUCGGUACCGCGACCGGCGUGAGGUGUUAAUUAACCCGCCCGACAAAAAGAACCCUUGCCGACGACGUGUAUGGGACACCGCCUCUACAUUUCGCACUUCAAAUCACACCUCGACACACCUAGGCCCGCCUGAGGGGGCUUCCCCGCGCAAGACACUCCGUUUUAAUGUUUAUCGAUUUUUCCGAGACCCCGUGCACACGUUUCAAGGGGUAUCGCGCGCGCGUGUGUGUCGGCCCUCACUUCACAAAUGCAACAUACGGAUUUCACAAAUGCACCUACCUCCUUUGAUUCAUCUCGCAAGCACCGGGAUCCGCGGCUUCCAGAGGUUUGCACCCGACUGUACAGCAGUGUGUGUAGUUUCUUUUUUCAACAUUCGACUCUGACCUUGGCAUCGGCACACACAUUGAGCCAGGGCAUUGAUUAGCUAUUUCCUCCUGGCCUUUUGCAACCGUGCCGUGCUUAUCCGCUUGAAUGGAUCAGCUACAGCGAACCGAUCACCUUCGCGAUCGUCAUCGAUCGUUUUAAAAUGCUUCCAAAACAAGUAAAUUUCCUCUGCCGUGCCGUAAAACCGA
This is a long non-coding RNA of Anopheles gambiae (African malaria mosquito), 712 nucleotides long. RefSeq lists it as uncharacterized. NCBI's taxonomy places the organism in Eukaryota, Metazoa, Arthropoda, Insecta, Diptera, Culicidae. The transcript has 2 exons. The record is from RefSeq and is a predicted model, not a curated record.